UACGGAGGGGGCUAGCGUUGUUCGGAAUUACUGGGCGUAAAGCGCACGCAGGCGGUGCGGUCAGUCGGGUGUGAAAUCCCAGGGCUCAACCCUGGAAUUGCAUUCGAUACUGCCGCGCUGGAGGACGGAAGAGGAGAGUGGAAUUCCCAGUGUAGAGGUGAAAUUCGUAGAUAUUGGGAAGAACACCAGUGGCGAAGGCGGCUCUCUGGUCCGUUUCUGACGCUCAUGUGCGAAAGCGUGGGGAGCAAACAGG
Molecule: ribosomal RNA, 253 nt
Filed under: uncultured bacterium
Lineage: Bacteria
Description: partial 16S ribosomal RNA
Rfam family: Bacterial small subunit ribosomal RNA
Source: RNAcentral